This 76-nucleotide small nuclear RNA is filed under the name Neotoma lepida (desert woodrat). RNAcentral describes it as "U2 spliceosomal RNA". Lineage: Eukaryota; Metazoa; Chordata; Mammalia; Rodentia; Cricetidae. The record is from Rfam by way of RNAcentral.
AUCACUUCUCUGCCUUUUGGCUAAGAUCAAGUGUAGUAAAUAUACAAACAAUAUUGUAAAGAAUUUCUCAUUUCUC